UUUAUAUAUAUACACACACACACACACACACUGCUCAAAAAAAUAAAGGGAACACUUAAACAACAAAUGUAACUCAAAGUCAAUCACAAUGUUGUGCAAAUGGGAUAGACAACAGGUGGAAAUUAUAGGCAAUUAGCAAGACACCCCCAAUAAAGGAGUGGUUCUGCAGGUGGUGACCACAGUCCACUUCUCGGUUCCUAUGCUUCCUGGCUGAUGUUUUGGUCACUUUUGAAUGCUGGCGGUGCUUUCACUCUAGAGGUAGCAUGAGAUGGAGUCUACAACCCACACAAGUGGCUCAGGUAGUACAGCUCAUCCAGGAUAGCACAUUAAUGCGAGCUGUGGCAAGAAGGUUUGCUGUGUCUGUCAGCGCAGUAUCCAGAGCAUGGAGGCGCUACCAGGAGACAGGGCAGUACAUCAGGAGACGUGGAGGAGGCCAUAGGAGGGCAACAACCCAGCAGCAGGACAGCUACCUCCGCCUUUGUGCAAGAAGGAACAGGAGGAGCACUGCCAGAGCCCUGCAAAAUUACCUCAAGCAGGCCUGUGCAUGUGUCUUCUCAAACGGUCAGAAACAGACUCCAUAAGGGCCCGACGUCCACAGGUGGGGGUUGUGCUUACAGCCCAACACCGUGCCGUGCAGGCAUUUGCCAGAGAACACCAAGAUUGGCAAAUUCGCCACUGGCGCCCUGUGCUCUUCACAGAUGAACGCAGGUUCACACUGAGCACAUGUGACAGACGUGACAGAGUCUGGAGACGCUGUGGAGAACGUUCUGUUGCCUGCAACAUCCUUCAGCAUGACCGGUUUGGCAGUGGGUCAGUAAUGGUGUGGGGUGGCAUUU
Molecule: non-coding RNA, 836 nt
Organism: Pelobates cultripes (western spadefoot toad)
Lineage: Eukaryota; Metazoa; Chordata; Amphibia; Anura; Pelobatidae
Source: the annotation of a GenBank genome assembly